RNAcentral lists this signal recognition particle RNA (298 nucleotides) under Saimiri boliviensis boliviensis (Bolivian squirrel monkey). Its description in RNAcentral is "Metazoan signal recognition particle RNA (ENSSBOG00000006108.1)". It matches the Rfam family "Metazoan signal recognition particle RNA". From Rfam's summary of the family: The signal recognition particle (SRP) is a universally conserved ribonucleoprotein. It is involved in the co-translational targeting of proteins to membranes. Lineage: Eukaryota; Metazoa; Chordata; Mammalia; Primates; Cebidae. The record is from RNAcentral.
GCCGGGCCAGUGGCACGUGCCUGUAGUCCCAGCUACUCAGGAGGCUGAGGCUGGAGGAUCUCUUGAGCCCAGGAGUUCUGGGCUGUAGUGUCCUAUACCAAUUGGGUGUCCGCACUAAGUUCGGCAUCAAUAUGGUGACCUCCCAGGAGUGGGGGACCCUCAGGUUGUCUAAGGAUGGGUGAACUGGCCCAGUUCAGAAACGGAGCAGGUCAAUACUCCCGUGCUGAUCAGUAGUGGGAUGGCGCCUGUGAAGAGCCACUGCACCCCAGCCUGGACAAUGUAGCAAGACCCUAUCUCU